Molecule: long non-coding RNA, 3312 nt
Filed under: Citrus x clementina
Lineage: Eukaryota; Viridiplantae; Streptophyta; Magnoliopsida; Sapindales; Rutaceae
Description: Citrus clementina (C. clementina) long non-coding RNA (CCLE_LNC004797)
Source: RNAcentral
CCAUUCCGAGUCCGGCGGACGAACUUCGCCCACGCCCCCCACCAAGGCUAUAGCCCACCCGUUUUUUGGCCAUUUUUCCGCUGGGGGGUCUUGGCUCCCCGACCUUCGGGGGCUGAUUUUUGGGCGCGGGUGUGCCCGUGGCCUAUUUUUGGCACACGGAGGCCGCCCGCAAAGUCUGGGGCCAUUCCGAGUCCGGCGGACGAACUUCGCCCACGCCCCCCACCAAGGCUAUAGCCCACCCGUUUUUUGGCCAUUUUUCCGCUGGGGGGUCUUGGCGCCCCGACCUUCGGGGGCUGAUUUUUGGGCGCGGGUGUGCCCGUGGCCUAUUUUUGGCACACGGAGGCCGCCCGCAAAGUCUGGGGCCAUUCCGAGUCCGGCGGACGAACUUCGCCCACGCCCCGCACCAAGGCUAUAGCCCACCCGUUUUUUGGCCAUUUUUCCGCUGGGGGGUCUUGGCGCCCCGACCUUCGGGGGCUGAAUUUUGGGCGCGGGUGUGCCCGUGGCCUAUUUUUGGCACACGGAGGCCGCCCGCAAAGUCUGGGGCCAUUCCGAGUCCGGCGGACGAACUUCGCCCACGCCCCCCACCAAGGCUAUAGCCCACCCGUUUUUUGGCCAUUUUUCCGCUGGGGGGUCUUGGCGCCCCGACCUUCGGGGGCUGAUUUUUGGGCGCGGCUGUGCCCGUGGCCUAUUUUUGGCACACGGAGGCCGCCCGCAAAGUCUGGGGCCAUUCCGAGUCCGGCGGACGAACUUCGCCCACCACCCCCACCAAGGCUAUAGCCCACCCGUUUUUUGGCCAUUUAUCCGCUGGGGGGUCUUGGCGCCCCGACCUUCGGGGGCUGAAUUUUGGGCGCGGGUGUGCCCGUGGCCUAUUUUUGGCACACGGAGGCCGCCCGCAAAGUCUGGGGCCAUUCCGAGUCCGGCGGACGAACUUCGCCCACGCCCCCCACCAAGGCUAUAGCCCACCCGUUUUUUGGCCAUUUUUCCGCUGGGGGGUCUUGGCGCCCCGACCUUCGGGGGCUGAUUUUUGGGCGCGGGUGUGCCCGUGGCCUAUUUUUGGCACACGGAGGCCGCCCGCAAAGUCUGGGGCCAUUCCGAGUCCGGCGGACGAACUUCGCCCACGCCCCCCACCAAGGCUAUAGCCCACCCGUUUUUUGGCCAUUUUUCCGCUGGGGGGUCUUGGCUCCCCGACCUUCGGGGGCUGAUUUUUGGGCGCGGGUGUGCCCGUGGCCUAUUUUUGGCACACGGAGGCCGCCCGCAAAGUCUGGGGCCAUUCCGAGUCCGGCGGACGAACUUCGCCCACGCCCCCCACCAAGGCUAUAGCCCACCCGUUUUUUGGCCAUUUUUCCGCUGGGGGGUCUUGGCGCCCCGACCUUCGGGGGCUGAAUUUUGGGCGCGGGUGUGCCCGUGGCCUAUUUUUUGCACACGGAGGCCGCCCGCAAAGUCUGGGGCCAUUCCGAGUCCGGCGGACGAACUUCGCCCACGCCCCCCACCAAGGCUAUAGCCCACCCGUUUUUUGGCCAUUUUUCCGCUGGGGGGUCUUGGCGCCCCGACCUUCGGGGGCUGAAUUUUGGGCGCGGGUGUGCCCGUGGCCUAUUUUUGGCACACGGAGGCCGCCCGCAAAGUCUGGGGCCAUUCCGAGUCCGGCGGACGAACUUCGCCCACGCCCCCCACCAAGGCUAUAGCCCACCCGUUUUUUGGCCAUUUUUCCGCUGGGGGGUCUUGGCGCCCCGACCUUCAGGGGCUGAUUUUUGGGCGCGGGUGUGCCCGUGGCCUAUUUUUGGCAAACGGAGGCCGCCCGCAGAGUCUGGGGCCAUUCCGAGUCCGGCGGACGAGCUUCGCCCACGCCCCCCACCAAGGCUAUAGCCCACCCGUUUUUUGGCCAUUUUUCCGCUGGGGGGUCUUGGCGCCCCGACCUUCGGGGGCUGAUUUUUGGGCGCGGGUGUGCCCGUGGCCUAUUUUUGGCACACGGAGGCCGCCCGCAAAGUCUGGGGCCAUUCCGAGUCCGGCGGACGAACUUCGCCCACGCCCCCCACCAAGGCUAUAGCCCACCCGUUUUUUGGCCAUUUUUCCGCUGGGGGGUCUUGGCGCCCCGACCUUCGGGGGCUGAUUUUUGGGCGCGGGUGUGCCCGUGGCCUAUUUUUGGCAUACGGAGGCCGCCCGCAAAGUCUGGGGCCAUUCCGAGUCCGGCGGACGAACUUCGCCCACGCCCCCCACCAAGGCUAUAGCCCACCCGUUUUUUGGCCAUUUUUCCGCUGGGGGGUCUUGGCUCCCCGACCUUCGGGGGCUGAUUUUUGGGCGCGGGUGUGCCCGUGGCCUAUUUUUGGCACACGGAGGCCGCCCGCAAAGUCUGGGGCCAUUCCGAGUCCGGCGGACGAACUUCGCCCACGCCCCCCACCAAGGCUAUAGCCCACCCGUUUUUUGGCCAUUUUUCCGCUGGGGGGUCUUGGCGCCCCGACCUUCGGGGGCUGAAUUUUGGGCGCGGGUGUGCCCGUGGCCUAUUUUUGGCACACGGAGGCCGCCCGCAAAGUCUGGGGCCAUUCCGAGUCCGGCGGACGAACUUCGCCCACGCCCCCCACCAAGGCUAUAGCCCACCCGUUUUUUGGCCAUUUUUCCGCUGGGGGGACUUGGCUCCCCGACCUUCGGGGGCUGAUUUUUGGGCGCGGGUGUGCCCGUGGCCUAUUUUUGGCACACGGAGGCCGCCCGCAAAGUCUGGGGCCAUUCCGAGUCCGGCGGACGAACUUCGCCCACGCCCCCCACCAAGGCUAUAGCCCACCCGUUUUUUGGCCAUUUUUCCGCUGGGGGGUCUUGGCGCCCCGACCUUCGGGGGCUGAAUUUUGGGCGCGGGUGUGCCCGUGGCCUAUUUUUGGCACACGGAGGCCGCCCGCAAAGUCUGGGGCCAUUCCGAGUCCGGCGGACGAACUUCGCCCACGCCCCCCACCAAGGCUAUAGCCCACCCGUUUUUUGGCCAUUUUUCCGCUGGGGGGUCUUGGCGCCCCGACCUUCGGGGGCUGAAUUUUGGGCGCGGGUGUGCCCGUGGCCUAUUUUUGGCACACGGAGGCCGCCCGCAAAGUCUGGGGCCAUUCCGAGUCCGGCGGACGAACUUCGCCCACGCCCCCCACCAAGGCUAUAGCCCACCCGUUUUUUGGCCAUUUUUCCGCUGGGGGGUCUUGGCGCCCCGACCUUCGGGGGCUGAAUUUUGGGCGCGGGUGUGUCCGUGGCCUAUUUUUGGCACACGGAGGCCGCCCGCAAAGUCUGGGGCCAUUCCGAGUCCGGCGGACGAACUUCGCCCACGCCCCCCACCAAGGCUAUAGC